UAGGAAAGCUGAGGCGAUUUGGGAGGGGCCUGCGGUCGAUUAGCUGGUUGGUGGGGUAAAAGCCUACCAAGGCGAUGAUCGAUAGCUGUUCUGAGAGGAAGACCAGCCACACGGGAACUGAGACACGGUUCCGACUCCUACGGGGGGCAGCAGUGAGGAAUAUUGCGCAAUGGGGGAAACCCUGACGCAGCAACGCCGCGUGGAGGAUGAAGGUUUUCGGAUUGUAAACUCCUUAACUGGGGGAAGAGGAAGGACGGUACCCCAGGACGAAGACACGGCUAACUAGGUGCCAGCAGCCGCGGUAAUACUUAGGUGUCGAGCGUUAUCCGGAAUUACUGGGCGUAAAGGGUGCGCAGGCGGCGAUACAAGUCUGGCGUGAAAGCUCCUGGCUUAACUGGGAGAGGACGUCGGAAACUGUAUGGCUAGAGUGAAUGAGAGGGGGGCGGAAAUCCCGGUGUAGUGGUGGAAUGCGUAGAUAUCGGGAAGAACACCAGAGGCGAAGGCGGCCUCCUGGCAUUUUACUGACGCUAAGGCACGAAAGCG
RNAcentral lists this ribosomal RNA (543 nucleotides) under uncultured bacterium. Its description in RNAcentral is "bacterial SSU rRNA". It matches the Rfam family "Bacterial small subunit ribosomal RNA", at positions 199 to 761 of the family's 1533-position model. The record is from RNAcentral.